Long non-coding RNA from Nematostella vectensis (starlet sea anemone), 782 nucleotides. RefSeq lists it as uncharacterized. Lineage: Eukaryota; Metazoa; Cnidaria; Anthozoa; Actiniaria; Edwardsiidae. The transcript has 2 exons. The record is from RefSeq and is a predicted model, not a curated record.
UUGUUUCUAAUAGAAUUGCUACUUGAGAUUAUAAAAAAAAGAAGUCCCGCUUUGCAGAUAAAAGACGGCUCACCAGGGCCCGUAAAAGCAAAAUGUACCGGGCGUCCCUCGCUUUAGUGGCCGAUAGGGGCUUGGGCCCAAGGCGCAAAAUCAUAACGGUCGAACGAAAGCCAUUAUCACAGCCUCCAAACGGAUAGCCGUUUAUUCCCGUCUUUUCUACGCGUAAUUCACCUUUUUUAAGGAUUUGAUGGCAGAAAAUGGAUUGAAGUAAAAGGACAUUAUGAUAGAGAUAGUAAAAUGUGCUCGAGUUGCAAAGCCAGAAAAGAAAGAAGUUUGGGGUAUAAGGAAUGUAUCAAUGCGUAAAUCGCAAGAAACGAAUAAAAUCUUCGUAAACUUAAGUUAUUCACUAAUCACUGUACUUACAUCUAAGCGCCUAUGCUUUAUAAACUGUUACUUGAAGCACAAAAUUGAAUAACUUAGCUUAGUAAAAACCUAGUAAUCAGUCUUGAACCUAAAAUUUGUCCAGAUAUUUUUUUUGAAUAUCUAAUGUUACUGUAGUUAUUUUUUGUCCGUAUAUUCUGAUCACAGUAAACCCUGCAUAUGAAGAAUCUAGUUAUCUUUUCAAGCUAGCCUACCAGGUUCAAAUUUAAAUGGUGCAUAUAGAGGCAUUAGGCUUCUAGCUACUUAUCUGAAUAUACAAAGAUGGAGGAGGUGGCAGUUCUUUUGGAAAACCGUAAUGACGCCAAAAAGGGUAAUGUUCAAAAGCUGUUAAAGUUGUUAUA